CUAGGGGGGGUGUCCCUCAGCCCAGAUUGCAAGAGGGUGUAGGCCAGGCUGAGGGACCCCACUGGUGCACA
Molecule: non-coding RNA, 71 nt
Organism: Myotis lucifugus (little brown bat)
Lineage: Eukaryota; Metazoa; Chordata; Mammalia; Chiroptera; Vespertilionidae
Source: Rfam